This 23-nucleotide non-coding RNA is filed under the name Arabidopsis thaliana (thale cress). The record is from RNAcentral. Lineage: Eukaryota; Viridiplantae; Streptophyta; Magnoliopsida; Brassicales; Brassicaceae.
AGGAAUAGCGAAUGGUUUCUCUC